RNAcentral lists this ribosomal RNA (372 nucleotides) under uncultured Sporobacter sp. RNAcentral's name for it is "bacterial SSU rRNA". It matches the Rfam family "Bacterial small subunit ribosomal RNA", at positions 355 to 741 of the family's 1533-position model. Lineage: Bacteria; Bacillati; Bacillota; Clostridia; Eubacteriales; Oscillospiraceae. The record is from RNAcentral.
UGGGGAAUAUUAGGCAAUGGGGGAAACCCUGACCUAGCAACGCCGCGUGAAGGAAGAAGGCUUUCGGGUUGUAAACUUCUUUUACCAGGGACGAAGAACGUGACGGUACCUGGAGAAAAAGCUCCGGCUAACUACGUGCCAGCAGCCGCGGUAAUACGUAGGGAGCAAGCGUUGUCCGGAUUUACUGGGUGUAAAGGGCGUGUAGGCGGAGCAGCAAGUCAGAAGUGAAAUCUCCGGGCUUAACCCGGAAACUGCUUUUGAAACUGUUGCCCUUGAGUAUCGGAGAGGCAGGCGGAAUUCCUAGUGUAGCGGUGAAAUGCGUAGAUAUUAGGAAGAACACCAGUGGCGAAGGCGGCCUGCUGGACGACAACU